CCUGCAUCACUUAAUAAGAAAUUCAUGUUGCUGCAUCGCUUGAUACAAAGAGACCAAUGUGUAAACCUUAUGAAUAUAUUAUAUAACUCAGGUUCUUCGAUGCCCUUCAUCAUUUUUACCUUAUUGUCUCCAAUCAAUGUCACUAGCCCUUGUUUCUUCAUAGGCUUCAACUAUAAUGCAUCAGCGGUUCAGAUUGUACUGCCGAGAAGUGAAGGUUCGUAAGAUGCAUCAUAAGGAUUAGCACGCUGCAAGUUCAGAGCCUUUUGUUUUCAACAGUUGGGUUAUGAUCAUUGCUAGUUACCCCUAAUGCUAAGAAGGUGCAUAUUUUGGCCAAUGUUGAACAAUCACUGCUGCAAAUGGUUAGAAAGAUUUAUUGCAGAAUUUUAAUGAAGCACACUACAAGACCACAACGGAAAAAUUAUACAUGUUGCAGUCAGGACCUGUCGGUGUUGAAGUACAUGCAAAAGUUUAGAUAGAUUCCAGCUACUUACAAGUACAU
Molecule: long non-coding RNA, 499 nt
Organism: Lolium rigidum
Lineage: Eukaryota; Viridiplantae; Streptophyta; Magnoliopsida; Poales; Poaceae
Exons: 3
Source: RefSeq, a predicted model, not a curated record